GCUACAGGAGCUGCCACCGUGCGCGCACCCGCUCAGCUCAGACCUGACAAGCGAAGCGGUCAGAUCGGUGGGUGAUAUCUGCGUGGCUUUUCAACGAUAGUGACAACUGAGGAACACCGAGGGCCUGACGCAGCGUGGUGGCUUUAUUUCUGCUGGACAGGUCACCUUCAGAUUUGGAGUCUUUAAUAGCCCCGCUGUACUUCUCACCAGUAUAGGCUGAUAGGCGGACCACGCUGGUUGACCUGGAUUACAACCACUGUGUCCACAGUCCAGGCCAGGACAAAAGCUGAUGACACAGUUCAGUACAGCAAGGUGUACAACAAAAAGUCCAGGAAGUGGAGCUUGUACUCAUUGAAGGUGA
Molecule: long non-coding RNA, 361 nt
Organism: Micropterus dolomieu (smallmouth bass)
Lineage: Eukaryota; Metazoa; Chordata; Actinopteri; Centrarchiformes; Centrarchidae
Exons: 3
Source: RefSeq, a predicted model, not a curated record